Molecule: ribosomal RNA, 2311 nt
Filed under: Enterobacter hormaechei
Lineage: Bacteria; Pseudomonadati; Pseudomonadota; Gammaproteobacteria; Enterobacterales; Enterobacteriaceae
Description: 23S ribosomal RNA
Rfam family: Bacterial large subunit ribosomal RNA
Source: RNAcentral
UGUAGCAAGGUUAACCGUAUAGGGGAGCCGAAGGGAAACCGAGUCUUAACUGGGCGUUAAGUUGCAGGGUAUAGACCCGAAACCCGGUGAUCUAGCCAUGGGCAGGUUGAAGGUUGGGUAACACUAACUGGAGGACCGAACCGACUAAUGUUGAAAAAUUAGCGGAUGACCUGUGGCUGGGGGUGAAAGGCCAAUCAAACCGGGAGAUAGCUGGUUCUCCCCGAAAGCUAUUUAGGUAGCGCCUCGUGAACUCAUCUUCGGGGGUAGAGCACUGUUUCGGCUAGGGGGCCAUCCCGGCUUACCAACCCGAUGCAAACUACGAAUACCGAAGAAUGUUAUCACGGGAGACACACGGCGGGUGCUAACGUCCGUCGUGAAGAGGGAAACAACCCAGACCGCCAGCUAAGGUCCCAAAGUCAUGGUUAAGUGGGAAACGAUGUGGGAAGGCACAGACAGCCAGGAUGUUGGCUUAGAAGCAGCCAUCAUUUAAAGAAAGCGUAAUAGCUCACUGGUCGAGUCGGCCUGCGCGGAAGAUGUAACGGGGCUAAACCAUGCACCGAAGCUGCGGCAGCGACACUAUGUGUUGUUGGGUAGGGGAGCGUUCUGUAAGCCGUUGAAGGUGUGCUGUGAGGCAUGCUGGAGGUAUCAGAAGUGCGAAUGCUGACAUAAGUAACGAUAAAGCGGGUGAAAAGCCCGCUCGCCGGAAGACCAAGGGUUCCUGUCCAACGUUAAUCGGGGCAGGGUGAGUCGACCCCUAAGGCGAGGCCGAAAGGCGUAGUCGAUGGGAAACAGGUUAAUAUUCCUGUACUUGGUGUUACUGCGAAGGGGGGACGGAGAAGGCUAUGUCAGCCGGGCGACGGUUGUCCCGGUUUAAGCAUGUAGGCGGAGGUUCCAGGUAAAUCCGGUACCUUUUAACGCUGAGGUGUGAUGACGAGGCACUACGGUGCUGAAGUGAUAAAUGCCCUGCUUCCAGGAAAAGCCUCUAAGCAUCAGGUAACACGAAAUCGUACCCCAAACCGACACAGGUGGUCAGGUAGAGAAUACCAAGGCGCUUGAGAGAACUCGGGUGAAGGAACUAGGCAAAAUGGUGCCGUAACUUCGGGAGAAGGCACGCUGAUAGGUAGGUGAAGUCCCUGCGGACGGAGCUGAAAUCAGUCGAAGAUACCAGCUGGCUGCAACUGUUUAUUAAAAACACAGCACUGUGCAAACACGAAAGUGGACGUAUACGGUGUGACGCCUGCCCGGUGCCGGAAGGUUAAUUGAUGGGGUUAGCGGCAACGCGAAGCUCUUGAUCGAAGCCCCGGUAAACGGCGGCCGUAACUAUAACGGUCCUAAGGUAGCGAAAUUCCUUGUCGGGUAAGUUCCGACCUGCACGAAUGGCGUAAUGAUGGCCAGGCUGUCUCCACCCGAGACUCAGUGAAAUUGAACUCGCUGUGAAGAUGCAGUGUACCCGCGGCAAGACGGAAAGACCCCGUGAACCUUUACUAUAGCUUGACACUGAACACUGGUCCUUGAUGUGUAGGAUAGGUGGGAGGCUUUGAAGCGUGGACGCCAGUCUGCGUGGAGCCAUCCUUGAAAUACCACCCUUUAAUGGCUGGUGUUCUAACGUAGACCCGUGAUCCGGGUUGCGGACAGUGUCUGGUGGGUAGUUUGACUGGGGCGGUCUCCUCCCAAAGAGUAACGGAGGAGCACGAAGGUUGGCUAAUCCUGGUCGGACAUCAGGAGGUUAGUGCAAUGGCAUAAGCCAGCUUGACUGCGAGCGUGACGGCGCGAGCAGGUGCGAAAGCAGGUCAUAGUGAUCCGGUGGUUCUGAAUGGAAGGGCCAUCGCUCAACGGAUAAAAGGUACUCCGGGGAUAACAGGCUGAUACCGCCCAAGAGUUCAUAUCGACGGCGGUGUUUGGCACCUCGAUGUCGGCUCAUCACAUCCUGGGGCUGAAGUAGGUCCCAAGGGUAUGGCUGUUCGCCAUUUAAAGUGGUACGCGAGCUGGGUUUAGAACGUCGUGAGACAGUUCGGUCCCUAUCUGCCGUGGGCGCUGGAGAAUUGAGGGGGGCUGCUCCUAGUACGAGAGGACCGGAGUGGACGCAUCACUGGUGUUCGGGUUGUCAUGCCAAUGGCACUGCCCGGUAGCUAAAUGCGGAAGAGAUAAGUGCUGAAAGCAUCUAAGCACGAAACUUGCCCCGAGAUGAGUUCUCCCUGAGACCUUGAGUCUCCUGAAGGAACGUUGAAGACGACGACGUUGAUAGGUCGGGUGUGUAAGCGCAGCGAUGCGUUGAGCUAACCGAUACUAAUGAACCGUGAGGCUUAACCUU